Molecule: non-coding RNA, 25 nt
Filed under: Mus musculus (house mouse)
Lineage: Eukaryota; Metazoa; Chordata; Mammalia; Rodentia; Muridae
Source: RNAcentral
UGUCAGUUAGCUGUUGGAAGUCUUA